Molecule: transfer RNA, 71 nt
Filed under: Acidobacteriota bacterium
Lineage: Bacteria; Pseudomonadati; Acidobacteriota
Also listed under: 1 other name
Description: Acidobacteria bacterium tRNA-Ser
Rfam family: tRNA
About the family: Transfer RNA (tRNA) molecules are approximately 80 nucleotides in length. Their secondary structure includes four short double-helical elements and three loops (D, anti-codon, and T loops). Further hydrogen bonds mediate the characteristic L-shaped molecular structure. tRNAs have two regions of fundamental functional importance: the anti-codon, which is responsible for specific mRNA codon recognition, and the 3' end, to which the tRNAs corresponding amino acid is attached (by aminoacyl-tRNA synthetases). tRNAs cope with the degeneracy of the genetic code in two manners: having more than one tRNA (with a specific anti-codon) for a particular amino acid; and 'wobble' base-pairing, i.e. permitting non-standard base-pairing at the 3rd anti-codon position.
Source: RNAcentral
GGGUUAGCUCAGUGGAUAGAGCACCGAGCUCGAAACUCGGCUGUCACAGGUUCGACUCCUGUGCCAACUCG